RNAcentral lists this ribosomal RNA (396 nucleotides) under uncultured bacterium. RNAcentral's name for it is "bacterial SSU rRNA". It matches the Rfam family "Bacterial small subunit ribosomal RNA", at positions 29 to 426 of the family's 1533-position model. The record is from RNAcentral.
AUUAAACGCUGGCGGCAUGCCUUACACAUGCAAGUCGAACGGCAGCACGGGAGCUUGCUCCUGGUGGCGAGUGGCGGACGGGUGAGUAAUACAUCGGAACGUGCCCUGGAGUGGGGGAUAACGCAGCGAAAGCUACGCUAAUACCGCAUAUUCUGUGAGCAGGAAAGCAGGGGAUCGCAAGACCUUGCGCUCUAGGAGCGGCCGAUGUCGGAUUAGCUAGUUGGUGGGUAAAGGCCACCAAGGCGACGAUCCGUAGCGGGUCUGAGAGGAUGAUCCGCCACACUGGGACUGAGACACGGCCCAGACUCCUACGGGAGGCAGCAGUGGGGAAUUUUGGACAAUGGGCGCAAGCCUGAUCCAGCCAUGCCGCGUGAGUGAAGAAGGCCUUCGGGUUGU